GACGAACGCUGGCGGCGUGCUUAACACAUGCAAGUCGAGCGGUAAGGCCCUUUCGGGGGUACACGAGCGGCGAACGGGUGAGUAACACGUGGGUGACCUGCCCUCAGCUCUGGGAUAAGCCUGGGAAACUGGGUCUAAUACUGGAUAUGACUCCACGGUGCAUGUCGUGGGGUGGAAAGCCUUGUGCGGCUGAGGAUGGGCCCGCGGCCUAUCAGCUUGUUGUGGGGGAUGGCCUACCAAGGCGACGACGGGUAGCCGGCCUGAGAGGCGACCGGCCACACUGGGACUGAGACACGGGCCCAGACUCCUACGGGAGGCAGCAGUGGGGAAUCUUGCGCAAUGGGCGAAAGCCUGACGCAGCGACGCCGCGUGAGGGAUGACGGCCU
Molecule: ribosomal RNA, 386 nt
Filed under: uncultured bacterium
Lineage: Bacteria
Description: bacterial SSU rRNA
Rfam family: Bacterial small subunit ribosomal RNA
Source: RNAcentral